AACGAACGCUGGCGGCAGGCCUAACACAUGCAAGUCGAACGCUGUAGCAAUACAGAGUGGCAGACGGGUGAGUAACACGUGGGAAUCUUCCUAUCGGUACGGAAUAGCUCAGGGAAACUUGGGGUAAUACCGCAUACGCCCUUCGGGGGAAAGAUUUAUCGCCGAUAGAUGAGCCCGCGUCUGAUUAGCUAGUUGGUGAGGUAAUGGCUCACCAAGGCGACGAUCAGUAGCUGGUCUGAGAGGAUGACCAGCCACACUGGGACUGAGACACGGCCCAGACUCCUACGGGAGGCAGCAGUGGGGAAUAUUGGACAAUGGGCGCAAGCCUGAUCCAGCCAUGCCGCGUGAGUGACGAAGGUCUUCGGAUUGUAAAGCUCUUUUGGCGGGGACGAUAAUGACGGUACCCGCAGAAUAAGCCCCGGCUAACUUCGUGCCAGCCGCCGCGGUAA
RNAcentral lists this ribosomal RNA (449 nucleotides) under uncultured bacterium. RNAcentral describes it as "partial 16S ribosomal RNA". It matches the Rfam family "Bacterial small subunit ribosomal RNA", at positions 29 to 523 of the family's 1533-position model. The record is from RNAcentral.